Capsicum annuum is the source of this 497-nucleotide long non-coding RNA. RefSeq lists it as uncharacterized. The transcript has 4 exons. The record is from RefSeq and is a predicted model, not a curated record. Lineage: Eukaryota; Viridiplantae; Streptophyta; Magnoliopsida; Solanales; Solanaceae.
UACUACAUUGUUUACCUUUUCUCCUCCUAUAAAGCUGCCUUGUGUAGACAAAAGAGUAGUACGAGAGAUUGCACCUUAUCUCCUUAGUUCCUAUGCAACGAGCGCGCUCAUUCUCUUUCAAAUAACAUUUCGAAGGGACUUACCACUUCUCAAGUUCUGCAAAACCUUUACCUGAUUUUGGGAAAUCUGAAAAAAUGGACAGCCCGAAUAAUGAGACACAGAUCGACAGCAAAAUUGCAAUGCAAAUGAAAGAAGCACUAGAAGUCCAGAGGCGUAUUCACGAGCAACUAGAGAGUCAGCGAAAGUCACAACUGAAGAUCGAAGAACAAGGAAAACAACUGACGAAAAUAUUUGAACAACAACAACAACAAACAACCAGGAGCCCCAUGUAGACGCGAAGUUCAAGCAUUUCAUCGCGAAGAUGAGGAUUUCGCUAUAGAAAGCUUCGAUAAUUUCCAUUUUGCAUCUAAAAUAAGUUACUAUGACAUGUAAACAGC